CCCUUAGAUGUUCUGGGCUGCACGCGCGCUACACUGAUGCGAUCAACAAGUUUUUCCUAUGUCGAUAGACACGGGUAAUCUUUUGAACUCGCAUCGUGAUGGGGAUAGAUUAUUGUAAUUAUUAAUCUUCAACGAGGAAUUCCUAGUAGGUGCAAAUCAUCAGUUUGCAUCGAUUACGUCCCUGCCCUUUGUACACACCGCCCGUCGCUGCUACCGAUUGGUUGAUCUGGUGAAUUAUUUGGACUGCCGGCUGAAGGGGUUUCCUCAUCUGCCAGCGGAAAGUCUUGUUAACCCUAUCAACUAGAGGAAGCAGAAGUCGUAACA
This 324-nucleotide ribosomal RNA is filed under the name uncultured eukaryote. RNAcentral describes it as "partial 18S ribosomal RNA". It matches the Rfam family "Eukaryotic small subunit ribosomal RNA", at positions 1470 to 1796 of the family's 1831-position model. The record is from RNAcentral.